UGGGGAAUCUUGCGCAAUGGGCGAAAGCCUGACGCAGCAACGCCGCGUGCGGGAUGAAGGCCUUCGGGUUGUAAACCGCUUUCAGUGGGGACGCGGUACCCACAGAAGAAGCCCCGGCCAACUACGUGCCAGCAGCCGCGGUAACACGUAGGGGGCAAGCGUUGUCCGGAUUUAUUGGGCGUAAAGAGCUCGUAGGUGGUUCGAUAAGUCGGGUGUGAAACCUCCAGGUCAAACCUGGAGACGCCACCCGAUACUGUCGGACUAGAGUCCAGUAGGGGAGCGUGGAAUUCCUGGUGUAGCGGUGAAAUGCGCAGAUAUCAGGAGGAACACCAGC
RNAcentral lists this ribosomal RNA (334 nucleotides) under uncultured bacterium. RNAcentral describes it as "bacterial SSU rRNA". It matches the Rfam family "Bacterial small subunit ribosomal RNA", at positions 355 to 713 of the family's 1533-position model. The record is from RNAcentral.